GACGAACGCUGGCGGCGGGCUUAACACAUGCAAGUCGAACGGAAAGGCCCUGCUUGUGUGGGGUGCUCGAGUGGCGAACGGGGGAGGAACAGGUGAGUAACCGGCCCUUGACUUUGGGAUAACUUCAGGAAACGGGGGCUAAGACCGGAUAGGAGCUCCUGCUGCAGGGUGGGGGGUGGAAAGUUUCGGCGGUUGGGGAUGGACUCGCGGCUUAUGAGCUUGUUGGUGGGGGAGUGGCUUACCAAGGCUUUGACGGGUAGCCGGCCUGAGAGGGUGACCGGCCACCUUGGGACUGAGAUACGGCCGAGACUCCUACUGGAGGCCGCAGUGGGCAAUCCUGAACCAUGGGUGGCACCCUGAUGCAGCAACGCCGCGUGCGGGAUAACGGCCUUCGGGUUGUAGACCGCUUUCGCCUGUGACGACGCGUGAGUGACGGUAAUGCGUAGAGAAGCCACGGCUAACUACCUG
This 468-nucleotide ribosomal RNA is filed under the name uncultured bacterium. Its description in RNAcentral is "partial 16S ribosomal RNA". It matches the Rfam family "Bacterial small subunit ribosomal RNA", at positions 28 to 507 of the family's 1533-position model. The record is from RNAcentral.